Molecule: long non-coding RNA, 447 nt
Filed under: Mustela putorius furo (domestic ferret)
Lineage: Eukaryota; Metazoa; Chordata; Mammalia; Carnivora; Mustelidae
Description: lncRNA (ENSMPUG00000031806.1)
Source: RNAcentral
UUACACCAUGGAAAUUGCAAAUGCUACAAAUCAAGGAUCCUACCCCAGACUCAGAACUGGCUGUUAAACAUUUAUCUGCAGAGCACUGACAACAAGCAAGGAAAGGAGUCUAUCUUAGCAGGAGUAAUUCAUCUUAAUAAUCAGAAAGAGAACUACUUACGGACCAUGCAGAAGAUGUGCACAUUCCAGGUCCUAGAAAUUAUGCAACUAGAGCAGAGAGAGCUCUUGGCACCUUUAUGGAUCAAAUCGUGUCCCUGAAAAAUCUGUAUGUUGAAGCCCUAAUUCCCACUGUGACUAUAUUUGGAAAUAGGGCCUUUAGAAAGGUAAGUAAAGUCAUACGGUGAAGCUCCAAUACAACAUUACUGAUAGGAAGAGGAAAAUGUCUCAGUGUUGCAUGCAUAUAGAGGAAUAGCCAUGUGAGUACACAGCAAGAAGGUGGCUGUCUAC